RNAcentral lists this long non-coding RNA (1895 nucleotides) under Linum usitatissimum (flax). Its description in RNAcentral is "long non-coding RNA (LUSI_LNC005455)". The record is from RNAcentral. Lineage: Eukaryota; Viridiplantae; Streptophyta; Magnoliopsida; Malpighiales; Linaceae.
AAAAGCGGUGGCAAUUCCGUAAAUUUUGGGUGCCAAAUUUAGAUCAUAUAAAGCCAAUUUUAGACAAAUUUUACUCAUUUUUCACUUUCUGUCUCUCUCUCUAAACUUUCUCCUCCAAUUCUCUCUCGCUUCUCUCUAACAUCUCUCCUCUCCUCCUCCUCUCCUCCACCUUCUUCUCCUCUGUGCCGCCUCUUUUCCGUUGCCGGCAACAGUGCCGCCGCCUCUUCUGUCGCCGCCGUGCCUCCCUUCUUUUUUUUUCUUCUUUUCUUCUCUUCUUAUUUUCUUCUCUUCUUCUUUCUCUCUUCUUCACCCCCUUUCUGCCCCGAUUUCGACGUCCAGAGCGACGGCGGUCCCGACGCCGCUGCUGCCUCUCCCUCAACCGCGACAAAAAGGUAAACAGAAACGUAGAUCUACUUCCCUUACUUUUAUCCUUUCUAUUUCAGCCGGAUUUGGACUUGCAUGUCGUCGAAGGAUGCCUUUAGCGAGUACUCCAACGACAUGCAAACCCCGAUCUACAAUUUUAAUGUUUGAAUUUUGUUUUUAUUGUCCUUUUUUGACUUACUGUUUUGUUUUUGUGUUUUUUCUUUCUUAUAAGGGGCUGGAAAUCGGUGGCGAGGAAAGGGGAGACGGUGUCCUGACUCACCGGAGGAAAUCGAUAAAAAGUGCGACUAAGAGAGGAGACAAUCUUUAGGAAGGUAAACCACCUAAACUCUAAUUAUUCUGAUUUUGUUCGGUAGAUAGUAGUGACUUUGCCCUUGGUUGAUUAGGUUGCGUAUAAUAUGAAAAUUUGACUGUCUUGCUUAUUAAGACUAAAUUCGUAAUCUAAGUGAAAAUGAUUUUCCGCUUGAAAAACUGAUUAUUUUGUCACGUUUGUGAAAAUUUCAACAAUCACACUUAACAAAAAGACUUGUUUUACCUCUAUUUUUAUUAGUAGCAUUGUAGUUCUUGAGUUUUCGGUGUAAACUGUAUGAAAAUGGUAAUAAGAGGUUGCUUAAUCCAAUGUUAAUCUGUUUUUCCAGCAGCCUUUCUUGAACGAAAAAGUUUCAUUUUACUUUUGAAUUCAUUGUUUGCAAAAAUUGGCUAUUUAAUCGUUUAGCAGUUGUGAAUAUAAAGUUAGGAGCAGUUUAAGUGGUAACAGAACAGUUAAUAUAGCAUACAAACCUAGAAAGUAUAUUGAGAAGUGUUGAAACAGAAUACGAAUGAUAUGUGAAUCGCUGAGAAUUAUGAAAAGGCUUGUUUGGGAGGUACUGAGCUUUGAAAACUGAUUUAUGUUUCUCUUUUGCAGUGUGUUUGAGCCAUUGGCCACUUGCUUCGGGAAUUUGGGAAUUCAAAAGCUUUGAGUCCUCGAAGUUUCGGCCAAAAGCACUUUGUAUUUGUUGAUUUUUUUCUUUUUUUCCUUUGUAGUGAGGUUUGGUGUGAUGGGUUGCGGUGUAAUGGUAUUAGGGUGUUUUCUUGUUAUAACCGGUAGGUCCUUCUUCGUUCCUCCCCUCUCUCUCGAAAGAAAUUCGAUGAUCCUUUUAAAUGAACAAAAGGGCUACCACCUCCCUUAUCUUCCAAUCUAAAUUGAACACCAAUCACUAAGGUGGCAGCCUCUCAGAGAAUAACAGAAAUCGGUCAUGAGAUCGGGUCCAAAAAAAUCCAUGUAAAAUAGAGCUACGAAAUAAAUAAAUAAAUAAACUCGAGGAUCCGGACAAAAUUUGGUUACUACACUCAACUUUGUUCUUUUGUCUUCUUGGAGCUGGUGGGAGAGCAGUCGUUCAAAUCUGACUGUGGGAACGUUCCCUUUUAAAACUCCUGAUCCUUGAAAACCUUUUCUUAAUACUCUUUUGCAAGUACUGACUCAUCACAUAAUGACUCAACCUAGACGCUCACCUACUGCCCCAUGGAAGUCUAGU